GAUGAACGCUGGCGGCGUGCCUAAUACAUGCAAGUCGAGCGAACGGACGAGAAGCUUGCUUCUCUGAUGUUAGCGGCGGACGGGUGAGUAACACGUGGAUAACCUACCUGUAAGACUGGGAUAACUUCGGGAAACCGGAGCUAAUACCGGAUGAUAUUUUGAACCGCAUGGUUCAAAAGUGAAAGACGGUCUUGCUGUCACUUAUAGAUGGAUCCGCGCUGCAUUAGCUAGUUGGUAAGGUAACGGCUUACCAAGGCAACGAUGCAUAGCCGACCUGAGAGGGUGAUCGGCCACACUGGAACUGAGACACGGUCCAGACUCCUACGGGAGGCAGCAGUAGGGAAUCGUCCGCAAUGGGCGAAAGCCUGACGGAGCAACGCCGCGUGAGUGAUGAAGGUCUUCGGAUCGUAAAACUCUGUUAUUAGGGAAGAACAUAUGUGUAAGUAACUGUGCACAUCUUGACGGUACCUAAUCAGAAAGCCACGGCUAACUACGUG
RNAcentral lists this ribosomal RNA (497 nucleotides) under uncultured bacterium. RNAcentral describes it as "partial 16S ribosomal RNA". It matches the Rfam family "Bacterial small subunit ribosomal RNA", at positions 28 to 507 of the family's 1533-position model. The record is from RNAcentral.